Chionomys nivalis (European snow vole) is the source of this 102-nucleotide small nuclear RNA. Lineage: Eukaryota; Metazoa; Chordata; Mammalia; Rodentia; Cricetidae. The record is from RefSeq and is a predicted model, not a curated record.
GUUCUCUUCGGCAGCACGUAUACUAAACUAGGAACAAUACAGAGAUUAGCAUGACCCCUGCACAUGGAUGACAGGUGAAUUCAUGAAGUGUUCCAUAUUUAA